This 382-nucleotide ribosomal RNA is filed under the name Chlorella variabilis. Its description in RNAcentral is "SSU rRNA". It matches the Rfam family "Eukaryotic small subunit ribosomal RNA", at positions 585 to 972 of the family's 1831-position model. RNAcentral also lists the same sequence under 1 other name. Lineage: Eukaryota; Viridiplantae; Chlorophyta; Trebouxiophyceae; Chlorellales; Chlorellaceae. The record is from RNAcentral.
CCAGCUCCAAUAGCGUAUAUUUAAGUUGCUGCAGUUAAAAAGCUCGUAGUUGGAUUUCGGGUGGGGCCUGCCGGUCCGCCGUUUCGGUGUGCACUGGCAGGGCCCACCUUGUUGCCGGGGACGGGCUCCUGGGCUUCACUGUCCGGGACUCGGAGUCGGCGCUGUUACUUUGAGUAAAUUAGAGUGUUCAAAGCAGGCCUACGCUCUGAAUACAUUAGCAUGGAAUAACACGAUAGGACUCUGGCCUAUCCUGUUGGUCUGUAGGACCGGAGUAAUGAUUAAGAGGGACAGUCGGGGGCAUUCGUAUUUCAUUGUCAGAGGUGAAAUUCUUGGAUUUAUGAAAGACGAACUACUGCGAAAGCAUUUGCCAAGGAUGUUUUCA